UUGGUGUCCGUUUAUGGAACACAGAUUUAGUGCAUAAAUGUAUAUUGAAUACCAAGUAUGGAUGUACGUAUGUGUAUCCAAUCAUGUUUACAAACAAAUGUAAGUAUUGCGUAAUAACCCAGAAUUCAAUAGAAUUUGUUACACAAUUAAAUCAUACCCAAAUGAUCAAAAAACGACGACUUUGAUGCGACUUGUAAAGAUUCCUACAAUUGUUAUAACAUGUAUAGUUGUGUGCAUGAGACCAAUGCUAUUAUUUGAAGUACCGACGCGACUACCACAGUUAGGCAUUGCAAAAUAUAUUGAUGUCGAACUUUCACGGGAUGCUAAAUCAUUAAGUUUAAUUAACGAGCUUUAAAUAACUCAUGCUGU
Aphis gossypii (cotton aphid) is the source of this 369-nucleotide long non-coding RNA. RefSeq lists it as uncharacterized. The transcript has 3 exons. Lineage: Eukaryota; Metazoa; Arthropoda; Insecta; Hemiptera; Aphididae. The record is from RefSeq and is a predicted model, not a curated record.